UGGGGAAUAUUGCACAAUGGGCGCAAGCCUGAUGCAGCCAUGCCGCGUGUAUGAAGAAGGCCUUCGGGUUGUAAAGUACUUUCAGCGGGGAGGAAGGGAGUAAAGUUAAUACCUUUGCUCAUUGACGUUACCCGCAGAAGAAGCACCGGCUAACUCCGUGCCAGCAGCCGCGGUAAUACGGAGGGUGCAAGCGUUAAUCGGAAUUACUGGGCGUAAAGCGCACGCCGGCGGUUUGUUAAGUCAGAUGUGAAAUCCCCGGGCUCAACCUGGGAACUGCAUCUGAUACUGGCAAGCUUGAGUCUCGUGGAAGGGGGUAGAAUUCCAGGUGUAGCGGUGAAAUGCGUAGAUAUCUGGAGGAAUACCGGUGGCGAAGGCGGCCCCCUGGACGAAGACUGACGCUCAGGUGCGAAAGCGUGGGGAGCAAACAGG
RNAcentral lists this ribosomal RNA (429 nucleotides) under Chloroflexota bacterium. RNAcentral describes it as "Chloroflexi bacterium partial 16S ribosomal RNA". It matches the Rfam family "Bacterial small subunit ribosomal RNA", at positions 355 to 776 of the family's 1533-position model. The record is from RNAcentral. Lineage: Bacteria; Bacillati; Chloroflexota.